GCGGAUGUGUUGGAAUUGGCAGACAAGCAAGACUAAGGAUCUUGUGGGCGGUAUCGCUCGUGCGGGUUCAAGUCCCGCCAUCCGCA
Molecule: transfer RNA, 86 nt
Filed under: Candidatus Tetragenococcus pullicola
Lineage: Bacteria; Bacillati; Bacillota; Bacilli; Lactobacillales; Enterococcaceae
Description: tRNA-Leu
Rfam family: tRNA
About the family: Transfer RNA (tRNA) molecules are approximately 80 nucleotides in length. Their secondary structure includes four short double-helical elements and three loops (D, anti-codon, and T loops).
Source: RNAcentral